AACUUUGCAAUACACGAAAGUGUGACAGGGCUAUCCCGAGUGCCAUCCGCUGAGGAAGGCUUUCACCCAGUCUAGAACGCUGGGGGAAUAAGGAGAGGGCAAGUCUGGUGUCAGCCGCCGCGGUAAUACCAGCUCUCCGAGUGGUGUGGAUGUUUAUUGGGCCUAAAGCAUCCGUAGCUGGCUAAGUUAGUCCCUUGUUAAAUCCACCGAAUUAAUCGUUGGAUUGCGGGGGAUACUGCUUGGCUAGAGGACGAGAGAGGCAGACGGUAUUCCCGGGGUAGGGGUGAAAUCCUAUAAUCCCGAGAAGACCACCAGUGGCGAAGGCUGUCUGCUAGAACGCGCCCGACGGUGAGGGAUGAAAGCUGGGGGAGCGAACCGGAUUAGAUACCCGGGUAGUCCCAGCUGUAAACGAUGCAGGCUAGGUGUUUGGACGGCCACGUGCCGUUCUAGUGCCGCAGGGAAGCUGUUAAGCCUGCCGCCUGGGGAGUACGAUCGCAAGAUUGAAACUUAA
Molecule: ribosomal RNA, 511 nt
Filed under: uncultured archaeon
Lineage: Archaea
Description: bacterial SSU rRNA
Rfam family: Archaeal small subunit ribosomal RNA
Source: RNAcentral